UGUUGUUACAAGUUUUAUUAGCCAUAGACAAAAAGAAAGAGAAUCAAAGCAACUCACUAUACAAUAGUAUUAAAUUAUAAGAAUCAUAUGAGGUCUUCUACAGGGUGUCAAAUAGCAUCUGUGACUAAAAUAAAACUGGUAUCAAAAACAAAACACAGGGCCUGGCCCCAUGGCCGAGUGGUCAAAGUCCCAUGUGCUCGCCUUUGGCAGCCCACGUUCUCGGGUUCAGAUCCCAGGUGUGGACCUACUCCAUUCACCAACCACGCUGUGGAGGUGUCCCACAUACAGAAAAAAAAAGUAGAGAAAGAUUGGCACAGAUGUUAGCUCAGGGCUAAUCUCCCUCAGCAAAAAAAAAAAAAAAACAAAAAAACCCACACAAAAAAAGAAACCUACAUAUCUUCCAAAAUUCCACUAAAAAAGAUGUGUCUGUCACCUAAGACGCCAAGUCACAUAGUCUAUACUGGUUUUUAACACUGAAAUAUGGAUUGAGCACUUUUUCCCAGUCAUGACACUGAGCGCUUUCUAUUCGUUAUCUCAUUAACGUCUCAUAACAAACACUAUUGGGUUCCAUAACUUUUGUCAUUUUUACUUACAAAGAAUUCAGCGCUCAAAGAAGUCAAGAAUUACUUUGCCCCUGAGAGGACAGGCGUUGUGAACUCUCUGAUUUGACAUCCCAGGCUCUCAAUCACUACCUUUCCUCCUACCACAAGCUCAUGAUGUGUUCUCACGCUCAAACAGUUUAUUCAUCGACCAAAACUGCAUGGUUUCUCAGAGAAAACAAUUGUGUGGAGAGGAUUUGAUGACAAUGCUGUUUCCCGGGUUGAAUAAUAUGUAAAGCCUUAACCGAGGUGUAUCCAACACUUUGGCAUGAAUACAAGAAGACUUACGCAUUCCCAAGUAGUUACAGGUGUAAAAUGUGUCUACAAACAUAUAGGUCCCGGGGCCAGCCCGGUGGCACAGUGGUUAAGUGCGCACGUUCCACGUCGGCGGCCCGGGGUUCGCCAGUUCGGAUCCCGGGUGUGGACAUGGCACUGCUUGGCAAAAAGCCAUGCUGUGGUAGGGUCCCACGUAUAAAGUAGAGGAAGAUGGGCACGGAUGUUAGCUCAGGGCCAGCCUUCCUCAGCAAAAAAAGAGAAGGAUUGGCAGCAGUUAGCUCAGGGCUGAUCUUCCUCAAAAACACACACACACACACACACACACAUAUAUAUAUAUAUGUCCCUUCUGAGUCUCCAUCUAGAAUUAGAGAAGAAAUAAUUGGUUUCGAUAAAAAUAAUAUUUUGAAAUCCACUAUAUGUUUAAAGGAAAAAAUUUAAUCUAAGUAAAUAAUACCUAUAUGAUGUUAAUGCAGAGCAGGCUGGCUGGGUUCCGUGUACACAAGAACUUCAAGCUCAGAGGUAAAACGGCUCGCUAACAAAUGCCCUCUCCCCUGACGGCCAGGAUCGCCAGGCCUCUCACGCCACGUGAACCAGCGCCAGUUUUAAACCACGCACCUUCCAUCAGCCGGUCUCCUCAGCAAAAAUUCAGCUCAAGGACUCCACGUGGAUAUCUCACUGGGGACAUUUCCAAUACCCAUGGGGACCACCGUCAUGGCCACGGCCACUUCUCACCCUGACUUCCAGGGGUCACCAGACCCCAAGCCACCAGGACAGGACACAGAGGUGGGUCCGCAUGGGGCGGGGGUCCAGAGCCAGCAGCACAACUGAAAGGCAGCGAUGGGAGAGAGCGAGAAAGGCCUUCUUCAUUCUCUUCUCCCUUCUCUCUGGUCUCUCUGCAUACAGUACUUGAUCAUUCUGACGCUGUGUUCCGACAUUUCAACUGAAAUAAACAGGUGGCCAUCUGAUUCUGGCAAAUAGUUUUCCCUUUUAUAAAACUUUUUCUUCCAGAGAAAUUAAACCUUGGUAUUUAGCCUCAUUAACAUUCUGACGUAAACAACUGAACUAACUAGAUUAUAAUGUGCUGAUCAAGGGGAGAUAUGUACAUAUAUAGCCAGCUUUCUACUCAUCUCUCUUGUCUUCGUAGGUCCUGGGCCAGAGGUACAUUUGUUCUGGGACCGCCCCUCACAGACACCAAGUCCUUCUAUCUAAAGAGUCUCCAAGGCUCCAGGAAACAUCUUGGAGUUUUCAACGUUGCCACCCUAAGGAAAAUGGAUAAAAGCAUUUACCCAGAAAUCAGUCUUCUAACAAACUAACAAUGUAUCGCCAAGGUAUAGGGGGGCACAUUUUUAAAUAAUCUUGACAGUUGUUUCAAAGUGAUGAAAAGCCUUAAGAACAGCCAAAAUCAC
This 2281-nucleotide long non-coding RNA is filed under the name Equus caballus (horse). Its description in RNAcentral is "lncRNA (ENSECAG00000052828.1)". Lineage: Eukaryota; Metazoa; Chordata; Mammalia; Perissodactyla; Equidae. The record is from RNAcentral.